RNAcentral lists this unclassified non-coding RNA (234 nucleotides) under Cistella sp. RNAcentral describes it as "partial internal transcribed spacer region". The stretch from base 1 to 46 matches the Rfam family "Eukaryotic small subunit ribosomal RNA", at positions 1786 to 1831 of the family's 1831-position model. Lineage: Eukaryota; Fungi; Ascomycota; Leotiomycetes; Helotiales. The record is from RNAcentral.
AAGUCGUAACAAGGUUUCCGUAGGUGAACCUGCGGAAGGAUCAUUACUGAGUUCAUGCCCUUACGGGUAGAUCUCCCACCCUUGAAUAUCUAAACCUUUGUUGCUUUGGCGGGCCGCUUCGGCUACCGGCUCCGGCUGGUGAGUGCCCGCCAGAGAACCUUAAACUCUGAAUUACAGUGUCGUCUGAGUACUAUAAAAUAGUUAAAACUUUUAACAACGGAUCUCUUGGUUCUG